GCAAGGCUGAGUGGGGGCCAGGACUGUGACCUCUGCCUUAUCAUUACUCCCCACAGGACACCAAAGCAAGUGUCCCAACGGCAGCAGGAAGGCCUUGGAGAAAAAGAAAAAGAAAACCAAAAACAAAGUAACGCAAAAACCCAGAGGGACAAGGAAACAGAGGGAAACCCCAGACUCCCACAGCAGUCUUCCAACCAGAGCACAGAUAGGAGCUGGCUUUCUUAGGAGUGCGCUUUCUUGGAGGGUGAACCUGAAUUGGGGUAUCUUCAAGAAGACCAGUUUGGGGGCUGCUUCUCUCCUUCAGAGGUCUCCAGGUAAGAAACCAGUCUGCAGGAAAUGGGGGAAGCAGAUCACUCUGGGAGCGUCCUCCUCCAUCUCCCCCUUCUCCACCGGCAGUUCAU
Molecule: long non-coding RNA, 401 nt
Organism: Chlorocebus sabaeus (green monkey)
Lineage: Eukaryota; Metazoa; Chordata; Mammalia; Primates; Cercopithecidae
Source: RefSeq, a predicted model, not a curated record